Long non-coding RNA from Tachysurus vachellii, 420 nucleotides. RefSeq lists it as uncharacterized. The record is from RefSeq and is a predicted model, not a curated record. Lineage: Eukaryota; Metazoa; Chordata; Actinopteri; Siluriformes; Bagridae. The transcript is spliced from 2 exons.
CUUGUUUCUGAUUGAAAUAUAAGACCCAUGUAUCAGAAGGCUCUCAGUUCUUCUCUGAUCAUCUCCACACCAUGAUCCUGAACACAGUGUCAGUCACUGGACUCCUGCUCUCCUUCACCGUCACCGGUUUGGCGGCGUACAGUUUGAGUCAGGAGAAGUCACGCCGACGGCACCUUCUCCCAGACCAGUCUUCUGAAGCUCACUAAGCAGCGCUGGAGCUCCGGGAGAACCUACACGUGCCGUCUGAGUCACCCGGCGCUUUCCACACCGCUGAGCCAGAGCACCAGCCUGGACCUGUGUGGCUAAACAGAAAUCUAAACAUAAAAUAGAGAUGCAUUUCAGAAGUUCACAUGCUCUUUAGAAGCUUGCUUUAGAUCUGAAAAUACAGUAUACAAUAAUAAAGUUCUUCUAUAUAAUUGA